CGACCGGCGCACGGGUGAGUAACGCGUAUCAAACCUUCCCAUUACUGUGGGAUAACCUGCCGAAAGGCAGACUAAUACCGCAUAGUCUUCGAUGACGGCAUCAGAUUUGAAGUAAAGAUUUAUCGGUAAUGGAUGGGGAUGCGUCUGAUUAGCUUGUUGGCGGGGUAACGGCCCACCAAGGCGACGAUCAGUAGGGGUUCUGAGAGGAAGGUCCCCCACAUUGGAACUGAGACACGGUCCAAACUCCUACGGGAGGCAGCAGCU
RNAcentral lists this ribosomal RNA (264 nucleotides) under uncultured Prevotella sp. RNAcentral's name for it is "partial 16S ribosomal RNA". It matches the Rfam family "Bacterial small subunit ribosomal RNA", at positions 92 to 355 of the family's 1533-position model. Lineage: Bacteria; Pseudomonadati; Bacteroidota; Bacteroidia; Bacteroidales; Prevotellaceae. The record is from RNAcentral.